CACACCAUGCCAAUAUUUUAAAUAGUGAGUUAAAUACUAUAUUUGAAAUUAAUGUACCCACCAUGACACUAGAAAAGUCUAUGCAUGACGUUGAUAGAACUUUAAUAAGUACAGGCUGUCCCAUGGUUAUGAAAGCCCAACUUAUCCUAUGAUGUUAUUAAAAUCAGAAGUCCAACAUAUAUAAAUACAUUUUCCUAUGAUUGGCAGAACUAGUUUCCUAUUUCCACUUGUAGUAAUUGUUCUUUUUAUCAGUCUUACGUGCUUUUGAUGCAUUUCAUUACAAUACUACAGUGCUUGAAUUUUUUGUGUGUACAUUCCAAUUAAUGAACAAAACGAACUUCAGAACAUGCAGAAAGUGGAACCCAUUCGUCACCAAAGGCUGGCCUGUGUUGAAGUCACCCAUUUUGGAGAUGUGAUUCAAUUGAAGUUACAACUCCAUUAGCAUGAAUGUUAUUUGUUUCAGGGUAAAUAACUUUACAGAACAGUACACAUUUAAUUCUUAUCAGGGUACUUUAACAUUAUACAUAAUAUCCAACAUGAUUACAAGACAAAUAUCCCCAACAAUUCAAUAUUGUAAACUAUAGACAAAACUACAUUUUAAAUGUGGCCAUUUUAUUCUCAACAUGAGAAUCAGUUAAUUAUUUCAGGUAGAAAAUGAAGCCUAAUUAUGUGCCAGAUUUCAAUGUAGGAAUUGAAUUAUUGAUUGGAUCCUGCAAAGUCAUAUAAAUAACGCUCAAAUGCCAUGUGGCAUUUAUGCUAAAUAAGUUUUCAACUAUAAAUUUUCAACAACUUAACGUUAAAUGUUAAUGUCUUUAAAAGUGUUAGUAUGUUUUAAAUACUAAAGUAUGCAGAUUUAUGUACAUCUUUCAAAAGCACAGAAUGUGUCGCAAAAAUGCACCAUGCACUGUAACUUCAAACUUACAAUCCAAGACACAUUAGCAUAAAGUAAAUUUUUAUUAUCAAAGUACAUACAUGUCACAAUACAACCCUGAAAUUCAUGUUUUGUGGGCAUGCUCAGCAUAGUAACCAUCACAGGAUUAGCAAAAGAACAACCAGAGUGCAGAAGACAACAAAUAGUCUAAAUGCAAGUAUAAAUAUAUAGCAAUAAGUAAUGGGAACAUGAGAUAAUGAGAUAAAGAGUCUUUCAAAGUGAGGUCACUGGUCAUGGGAACAUUUCAAUAAUGGGGCAAGUGAGUGUAGUUAUCCCCUUUUAUUUGAGAGACUGAUGGUUGAAGGGUAGUAACUGUUCCUGAAGCUUUGUACCUUCUACCUGAUGGCAGCAGCGGGAAGAGAGCAUGGCCAUGGUGGUGGAGAUCUCUAAUGGCGGAUGCUGCUUUCCUACGACAGUGUUUGCACAAUGGUGAGAAGGGCCUUCCCUGUGACUGACUGGGCCAUAUCCACUACCUUUUGUAGGAUUUUCCAUACCAGGCCCUGAUGCAGUCAGUCAAUACACUCACCGCUACACAUCUAUAGAAGUUUGUUAACGUUUUAGAUGACAUGCCAAAUCUCUCCAGACUCCUAAGGAAGUAGAGGCGCUGCCAUGCUUUCUUCACAAUUGGACUUAUGCAAGUCCAGGACAGGUCCUCUGAAAUAGUAACACCCAGGAAUUUAAAGUUGCUAACCCUCUCCAGCUCUGUUAUACUAAAAAUAUGUGUACUGUUAAGCAAUCAAAUACAGUACAGUACUUCUUGUUGAACCAGAUCUCCUUGGGUCAUACUGUGAACAGCAUUUAAGUCUUCAAAAAGCAACAUCCUAGAGUUCCAACAGAGUGAUGUCAAAUGCAUGAAUUCAGCCCUUCAGAUGACCAACCAGUUCUGAUGUAAACUCCUUCCCCUGCAAUUUUUUUUCUCUCUGCAGAUGCUAUUUAUCUGCUAAGCAUUUCUGCCACUCUCUAUUAUUUCCGGUUUCCAACCAGCACUACGUUUUAUAUGCCACAGUGCCAGUGUGCGAUUACUCUCUCAUUCCCUUCAUUUAUUCUUCUCCAUUUACCUUCCUUCAAAAACAUCUGUUAUGAUUAACUAGCAUUUGGCUUCCCUUCUUAAGCAACACUGAAAGCUAUCAAGUAACCUAGACAUUUUCCCCUCCACCUUACCACAAGCAUUCUCUAUAAUCUCCAUCUCAUUCCUCCGCCCCCCCACAACAGAAAGCUCCAAUUUCAGUCACAUUGCUCUACCUCGGCCUUUUGUCUUUCCGCCUGAGUCACCCAGUUCAUUCCACAGUCACUGCAGUCCCCAUCACCCUGUUUCUUUCCCCUCAUCCACCCACUCUAUCUGUCCUUCUCUCACAGAUUCCUUCCACUGGGUCGCCUCCCCCAAUGUUCCCAUCUAAACAAUUCAUCUCCCUUACCUGAUUCCAUGCUCCACCAAUCAGAUUCUAUCGUCUGCAGUGCUUUGUUAUCUCCCAGCCACUCUUCUGUCCUCAGUCUGCCUAGAGCCCUUCCUAAUAACUUGUGUUGUUUUUCUCUGAGCAUUGGGUGUUUAACAGUCUUUAUUUCAUAUACACAUUUAGGAUCUUUUACCGUUCUUUGUUUUGUGGCUGCCUGUAAGGAGAUGGAUCUCUAGAUUGCGUAAUGUACAUACAUACUUUGAUAAUAAAUGUACUUUGAACCUCUUUAUACUGGCUAUCACCUCUCUGUGUUUCAGAUCAAAUUAAGGAUGUGGACUCAAAACAUCAAUGGUCCAUUUCACUCUACAGGUGCUGCCUGGGCCCCUGAAUUCUUCCAGCAUUUUAUUUGUUGCUCCAGAUUCCAGCAUUUGUAGAUUUAGUUCUCUAAUCCCAUUCCCCCAACAAGGAUCUCCCCCCCCCCCACUUCUAUGGAUUCAGCUUAAUCCAUUUAAUCUUCUAAAGCAAAGAUUCCAAAACUCCUUCCCACCCACAAAAAAUCUCCAAAGAAUGCUAUCAUUCUCAUUCUUCUCAACGUAUCACUCAGUAACUCUAUUUAUUUCCAACCAACUGCAGUCAAUGUUCUGCUCAGUAAAACAAAUUGAAAAAUACUGUCUGAACUUAUUCCCAUUUCAUUCCUCUAAUUUUUUUUUAUCUGGUUGUCUUUUGGAUUGGCUGUAUUAAAAUUGCAUGUGCUACUUUUGUUGGAAAACAAUGCUGUACAAUAUUAUACAAGAUCAAGUAUGAUUUCUGUUAUUUUUUUCCAUUUCAUUUGAAGCCAGUAACAUUUGUACCUGAAUAGACAUCUUACAUUCUGCCUUAAAAGUGAAAACACGAUUAGUUUUAUAACUCUUUCCUCAAUGUAGACCACGAGUUUAUUCCUCCCCAUUUUAACUAUUUUCCAACUCAUGCUCACCCUUCUAACUGGAAGAGCAGUAGAUGUAGUGUAUAUGGAUUUCAGCAAGGCAUUUGAUAAGGUACCCCAUGCAAGGCUUAUUGAGAAAGUAAGGAGGCAUGGGAUCCAAGGGGAUAUUGCUUUGUGGAUCCAGAACUGGCUUGCCCACAAUUGGCAAAGAAUGGUUGUAGACGGGUCAUAUUCUGCAUGGAGGUCGGUGACCAGUGAUGUGCCUCAGGGAUCUGUUCUGGGACCCCUUCUCUUCAUGAAUUUUAUAAAUGACCUGUAUGAGGAAGCGGAAGGAUGGGUUAGUAAGUUUGCUGAUGACAUAAAGGUUGGGAGUGUUGUGGAUAGUGUGGAAGGCUGUCACAGCAGGACAUUGACAGGAUGCAAAACUGGACUGAGAAGUGGCAGAUGGAGUUCAACCCUGAUAAGUGUGAAGUGGUUCAUUUUGGUAGGUCAAAUAUGAUGGAAGAAUAUAGUAUUAAUGGUAAGACUCUUGGCAGUGUGGAAGAUCAGAGGGAUCUUAGGGUCUGAGUCCAUAGGACGCUCAAAGCAGCUGAGCAGGUUAACUAUGUGGUUAAGAAGGCAUACAUUGUAUUGGCCUUCAUUCAUGGAACUGAAUUUAGGAGCUGAGAGGUAAUGUUGCAGCUAUAUAGGUCCCUGGUCAGACCCCACUUGGAGUACUGUGCUCAGUUCUGGUCGUCUCAAUACAGGAAGGAUGUGGAAACCAUAAAACGGGUGCAGAGGAGAUUUACAAGGAUGUUGCCUGGAUUGGAGAGCAUGCCUUAUGAAAAUAGGUUGAGUGAAUCGGCCUUUUCUCCUUGGAGCGACAGUAUGAGAGGUGACCUGAUAGAGGUGUAUAAGAUGAUGAGAGGCAUUGAUCGUGUGGAUAGUCAGAGGCUUUUUCCCCAGGGCUGAAAUGGCUGCCACAAGAAGGUGCAGGUUUAAGGUGCUGGGGAGUAGGUACAGAGGAAAUGUCAGGGGUAAGUUUUUAACUCAGAGAGUGGUCAGUGCACGGAAGGGCUGCCGGCAAUGGUGGUGGAGACGGAUAUGAUAGGGUCUUUUAAGAGACUUUUGGAUAGGUACAUGGAGAUUAGAAAAAUAGAGGGCUAUGGAUAACCCUAGUAAUUUCUUAGGUAGGGACAUGUUUGGCAUAGCUUUGUGGGUCAAAAGGCCUGCGUGGUGCUGUAGGUUUCCUAUGUUCUAUGUUUCUAUGUGGGUGGCAGAUUCCAACAGAAAUAAAAUUGAUCAAUGGGGAAACACUUGCUUUUCUCUUAAUUUAUAUAUUUGACUCACAAAGUUUGUUUUUCAGAAUUUCAGCCUUUCAUUUCAGAUUUCCAGUAUCCAGGAAUCUUUGUUUACCAGAUAAUCAAAGAUCACAUCUUUUCACAUCAAGAUGGUUACAACUUUUGGAUUCAGUUGAAGAGUUUGACUAAAACCACAUUCAAUUUGAUAAGAGAAAUAAUGAAAUGGAAGAUGAAGACUGACUUAAUGCAGCAGUCAAUGAAGCAAGGGCAGCAUCAAGAGCUAAAUAUGAAAUAAAAUGAAUAAAACAGAUUAUUUUCCCAAUAAAAAAUUC
Long non-coding RNA from Hypanus sabinus (Atlantic stingray), 4859 nucleotides. RefSeq lists it as uncharacterized. The transcript has 3 exons. The record is from RefSeq and is a predicted model, not a curated record. Lineage: Eukaryota; Metazoa; Chordata; Chondrichthyes; Myliobatiformes; Dasyatidae.